Molecule: transfer RNA, 88 nt
Filed under: Candidatus Buchananbacteria bacterium
Lineage: Bacteria; Candidatus Buchananiibacteriota
Description: tRNA-Ser
Rfam family: tRNA
About the family: Transfer RNA (tRNA) molecules are approximately 80 nucleotides in length. Their secondary structure includes four short double-helical elements and three loops (D, anti-codon, and T loops).
Source: RNAcentral
GGAAGGGUGACAGAGUGGUCGAAUGUGACGGUCUUGAAAACCGUUGAGGCGCAAAACGUCUCCGUGGGUUCGAAUCCCACCCCUUCCG